Long non-coding RNA from Xenopus tropicalis (tropical clawed frog), 654 nucleotides. RefSeq lists it as uncharacterized. The record is from RefSeq and is a predicted model, not a curated record. The transcript has 2 exons. NCBI's taxonomy places the organism in Eukaryota, Metazoa, Chordata, Amphibia, Anura, Pipidae.
CGGCAGAUUUUACGUCAGCCAAUCGGCGGGCGGUACACUCAUUCACAAUCCCAAACCAACAGGAGGUGGGCGUGGCGAGUAGAAGCGGGCGUUUUCCGCAUGUGUGAGAGGAAACACCGGUUGUAAAUGUCAUUGCGAUAACGCUAAUUACCGGGCUGACGGGCAGGGCUCCUACUAUGGGAGUCCGCUAGAUAUAUUAGCAUGCUCUGACGGGGGCAUAGGCGCUGAGAUGUUUUCAAGUAAAGCACAGUGUUAAAUACAGUCUGAAAUAAUCAUCAGAUGUACGUGAGUACGGUUUCACUGAAUAGUAAGUGAUUUUCAUGGGAAAAAAGCUGUGUUGUAACAUGUACACCCAGAAAAAGGCCAGGUCUGUCUGUUUGUGUUGGAAACCCAUGCAUGUGUUCUUUGGCAGCUGCCCAACAGCAUGCCCGGUAUACAUGCGCAGGGCAUAGAAACAUUUGUUCUCUGCAGGCCAACCAAUAUCACACGGCUUGGGCAGAACAUGACUCCAUGGAGCGAGAGCUACGGAACAAUUUAUGUCACUGAGCUGCUGUACAAAUGGAAGCAUACACCGGGGGCUCUAAUUCUGUAACCAACACUUGGUUAAAGUUGCUUUAAGGCCAAAUUUACCAAAUUAAAAGCCCUACAAAAACA